RNAcentral lists this small RNA (127 nucleotides) under Marmota monax (woodchuck). Lineage: Eukaryota; Metazoa; Chordata; Mammalia; Rodentia; Sciuridae. The record is from RNAcentral.
ACUGGGCAUGGUGGUGCAUGCCUGUAAUCCCAGCAACUAGGGAGGCUGAGGCAGGAGGAUUUCAAGCUUGGGGCCAACCUGAGCAAUUCAUCAAGGUCCUGAGCAAUUUAGCCAAGCCCUGUCUCAA